Salvia miltiorrhiza (redroot sage) is the source of this 1478-nucleotide long non-coding RNA. RefSeq lists it as uncharacterized. NCBI's taxonomy places the organism in Eukaryota, Viridiplantae, Streptophyta, Magnoliopsida, Lamiales, Lamiaceae. The transcript has 3 exons. The record is from RefSeq and is a predicted model, not a curated record.
UCUGCCAAACAGCACUUCCAAUGAAAAAGUGGGUCAAAUUUAGAAUCUUCUAUCAAAAUCAGUUUUGUCCUAUAUUGUCUCUCUCUCUCUCUCUUUGUACACGAAAUCAAAAUUUUGACAAACCCUAGAGCCGUGUACUCCAAAAUCUGCGAACUCUCUGAAUUUCCAAGGGAACAAUACCGUGUCUCUCUUGUACAAGCUCAAAUUUCAUCCAAUUUGAGAGCAAAAUUUCACCCAAUUUCACGCCUAUCACUCUUUUCUACAAACAAAUCGUGUGUGGUUUGAAACCCCACACAAAUCGUAGCCGUGUACUCCAUAAUAGAGCAAAAACAACUUGGUGAAUUAUUCUAUCUUCUCAAUUAACAAUGAGUGAAACUGAAUCCGACUACUCCAGAGAGGAAGAACAGCCUGUAGAACGAGGCCAUCGCCCGAGUACAUCGAGGAGGGAAAAAUACCCGACGCCGAAUCCGCCUCCGAGGCAUGCUUGGUUACGUCCGUGCAUGCAAGGUUAUGCCGGACGAAUCAAUCACUAUGUAAAGGACACGACACUGAAGGAAGUGGAGACCUGUCUGACGCACUACCAGCGUUUAGAACAAUUUAAGAAAGGUCCGUUUGGGCAUUUACUUCAGUUGAAGAGGCAGGAUAGUGCGAAUGCCGCACUGCACCAUCUUCUUGCACGGGAGUUGUAUGACGAAGCAUUCGGUCCGUGGGAGAAGUAGUUCCACGUUGGUGGACACGACAUUCGAUUCGGCGCAGUGGAGUAUUGUCUGGUGACGGGGUUGUGUUUCGGGCCAUCCCCGCAGCGUUUUGAUCCUAAUGUGGAUCACCGUGUUGGGAAGCAGAGUCUAUGGCACGGAGUUUUGAAAGGCAAGAAGGUGGAAGUGAAGGAUCUGCGGAAGCGGUUCGUUAACCGCAGUCUGGGCAACAGUGCCCAGGAUUAUUUGAAGGCGGCCAAUAUUCUCGUGGCGUAUGAUCUCCUCUUCUGUCGGGAUUAUAAAUACGUGCACGAUUGGGUGUGGGCACUGGUAGAGGAAGAUCAGAAAUGGUCCGACUUCCCGUGGGGCUCUUACUCAUUCCAGAUUUUGUGUCAUGGGAUGAGUGUGUUGAAGAAGCAUCCCAACGAGAUUACCGGUAAUAGGUAGACGUACCACUUCUAUGGGCCCAUAUGGGCAUUACAGAUUUGGUCGUACGAGGCCAUUCCGAGGUUGGGCCGCGCGUGUGGGAUGCGUGACACGAGGUUGCAGAUGCCACGAUUGGUGAACUGGACGACUUGGAAGUCGGCUUCUGACUUCACCCACUUUUUUGAUGCUCAUGAGGCCGAGUGUCACCGGACACUCGAACCGGUCGAGGAGGAGAAUGAUUCAUGGUAUUUGCAGACCCUGAGGCAUCCAGAGCCUUUUUCUGUACGAUACCAUCCUGGAGGGAAAUAUGCCGGCUUGACAGAGCCAGUUGUACCGGAGCCGCCUCCUCCUGUUAGG